GCCUUGUUUUUCUGAAGAAAAGGCCAAAUGGCCUUUUCUAUUUUUUCGGAGAGGCAGUGCCUCUCCUCCUUAUUUUUCUCUUAUGGAUUUUUAUAGAAAAUCCUUGAUCUACGAAGAUCCAACGGUCCGAUCUUCGAUCCGACUUCGGUAACGUGAUCUACGAAGCUCGAUCUACGUUUCUACCGAUCGUUUUGAGAUUUUGGGUAGUUUGGAGUUGCUAGGAGCUUCCCGAGCAUUUGGUCUUUGCUUGACGAAUUUUUGACAUUGAUGCUUUGGUUGCAGGCUCUGCGGAUAUAGAUAUUGACUCGUCCACCUAACGUAUGGGAUACUAUGAUUGGAGCACAACGCAACAGUCAUAAGACACGGACGCAUGGGUAGUCCACAUUUUGGGUAUUUUAUCUAUGGCUCGUGUCCUACGUGGCACAUGUAUUUGUGGAGCCUAUAUUUUAGAAUGUAAUUAGUGUAAUAUGUUAUAUAAGCCUUAAAUAGAUAGAUUUGUAAAUGGCUCUUGUUGUAAUUAACAGUUGUGUAUUAGAUGUACUUCCGCUUAUGAUAUGUGUUUCGCUGCACAUUGAUUACUA
This is a long non-coding RNA of Alnus glutinosa, 581 nucleotides long. RefSeq lists it as uncharacterized. The transcript has 3 exons. The record is from RefSeq and is a predicted model, not a curated record. NCBI's taxonomy places the organism in Eukaryota, Viridiplantae, Streptophyta, Magnoliopsida, Fagales, Betulaceae.